Molecule: ribosomal RNA, 331 nt
Filed under: uncultured bacterium
Lineage: Bacteria
Description: bacterial SSU rRNA
Rfam family: Bacterial small subunit ribosomal RNA
Source: RNAcentral
CGCGUAGGCGGCUUAAGAAGUCAGGCGUGAAAGCCCCGGGCUCAACCUGGGAGGUGCGCUUGAUACUCUUGAGCUGGAGUACGGGAGAGGAGAGUGGAAUUCCCAGUGUAGAGGUGAAGUUCGUAGAUAUUGGGAAGAACACCGGUGGCGAAGGCGGCUCUCUGGACCGUAACUGACGCUGAGGCGCGAAAGCGUGGAGAGCAAACAGGAUUAGAUACCCUGGUAGUCCACGCCGUAAACGAUGUGCGCUAGACGUUGGAGGCCAUAGGUCUCCGGUGUCGCAGCUAACGCUUUAAGCGCACCGCCUGGGGAGUACGGCCGCAAGGUUAAA